AACAAUGAAUGAAAUUAUAAAUAAUUAAAAAUACAAAAUGGUAGAUCCUCUAUCGUUUCUGUUGCUAAGUACAUGUGUAAUAGCAUGCUGGCCAUGUCUCUUGCCGUGCUGCCUCGCCUUGCCUUUCGUGCAGUUUCCAAUUAUAGUCGUUGAAUCGACUGACGUAAACAAAUUUAAAAAAGGGACUGAAGCAAAGGUGUUCUACGUAUGCGUCACAAAAAGUGGAGUAAUGUUGAGAAAGAGGAAAUAAUUCAAAUCAAUAUCCAUUUGUGUGUGAUGUGUUGAUUUUAUAAAUAUUAUUAAAUAUAUUCUUACAG
Vanessa atalanta (red admiral) is the source of this 317-nucleotide long non-coding RNA. RefSeq lists it as uncharacterized. The transcript has 3 exons. Lineage: Eukaryota; Metazoa; Arthropoda; Insecta; Lepidoptera; Nymphalidae. The record is from RefSeq and is a predicted model, not a curated record.